CUUUUGUACAACACACCAUCAUGGGUCUUUUACUAACAUGGACUUGUCUCCUAAUGUUUGUACCAGGCAUCCGGUCUGAUCCCAUGCUCACACAGACAGACUCACAGUUGUUAAGAAAGCCAAAUGAGUCUUUCAAGUUAACUUGCAAAGGAUCUGGGUUUGAUUUCAGUCAGCAUGGAAUAAACUGGAUACGUCAGGCACCCGGGAAAGGUCUUGAAUGGAUAGGAACGAUUUGGUAUGAUGCCAGUAGAACAGAGUAUGCCAAAUCUUUAGAAGGACGCAUAGAAAUAACAAGGAACAACAAGGAGAGUGUGUGUUUUUUGGAACUGAAGAAGCUGGUUACUGCAGAUACAGCCACAUAUUUUUGUGCUAGAGCACACUGGCAGAACUAGUGCAGUUGUCGUACAAUAUCUGUAUAGUAUC
This is a non-coding RNA of Rana temporaria (common frog), 423 nucleotides long. NCBI's taxonomy places the organism in Eukaryota, Metazoa, Chordata, Amphibia, Anura, Ranidae. The record is from the annotation of a RefSeq genome assembly.